GCUGAUGUAUGUACAGUUACUGCGUAGCGCCGUACGGCAUCGGUGCACAACUGCGGACCGGUCGGCCAUUUAUUUCUAAACUUCACUCCUUCGUCGACGGUACUACAACUGCUCCACUCAAGACGUAUGCAUCGUGUCCUUCACAUCACCUCUAAAAUCCGACGGCGAUGUUUGCCCGUUCGGUACGCCAUCGGCCGGCACAACGUUAAUAGGUUGGUUCAAAUUUCGACGGCGAGAACUUGUUGAUUCGGUACCGGUGAGCGUGCACUAUACUUCAGUCUCAUCAUGAAGGCCGGAGCGGUGGACACUGACCACAUCAUCCAGGGCAAGGGCAAUGGCUGUCCAUCGUGCAGAGUGUCCGAGACAGUAACUUUGUUACUAGUUGCUGCUUAUUUUUACUUCGGCUGCAAGCACGUGAAACCCGUGUAUUACUUCGGAACCACGAGUAUGUAUACAACAAUAAGUACAUCGAAUCGCGGACAUUACGUCCCCGUCAAUUAUUAAGAUUAGACGUUUGGUCCACUGAGAUUUUAAAUCGCUAUUUUUUAUUUUUUUUUAUUCGGUUUUAUUUGUAAAACACAAAACGUUAGUAUAAUUUAUAAUAAUAAAAUAUUACAAUAAGAUAUAUAAGUUAUCAACGAUUCAAUUUUCAACAGUCGAAUUUAAUUUAAAUAAUAUAAGUAAACUAUAUAGGUACGGAUAUAAUAAAUUUACCUUAGUACAAUACAAAUACAUUUAGGUAUAUACCUAGUUAUUUAUAUUUUAAUAUUUCAGUUAGUAAUGCAUAACACAAAAAAAUAGGUUUUUUUUUAAUUGAAAAUAAUGUAUAAUUGUAAGAAAAAUGGUAUAAGUUUAACAUUUCUACUCACAUUAUUCAAUAAGUUAUGAGUAGGACCCGGAAGUUGUUGCAUUUUAAUGUUGUUUUUUUUAGCUAUUUGUAACUAAGCAUGACAGUGGCGUGUAUCAUACAAAAAAUUGGUGUUGCUGAAAUAAUUUUAGGUGACCUACCCCUCAUAAUACUGUUAUACCAACAUCUAAAAUUUCCUAUAAUUCUUCUAUCAAUACCUACCCACCCAUAUUAAUUAAGGUGUUGCCUGAGCAACGCUUGGACCCUUGUUACACGCCACUGAAGCAUGAUAUUAAUUUAUUUCACAAAAAUACGAAAAAAAAAAUUAAAAGUUUAUAAUGCAUAGUUUUGUGCAUUUUGUGAUUUUGUAGUUUCAAAGCAUAUUUCUCAAUUAAUAUCAUUUUUUAGAACUGCACAUUUGAAGAUUAAUGAUAUGUUUAUGACAAUAAUUAUUAUAUCAUUGUAUAUGAAAAACGAAGCUAUCCAAUGUUUUAAUAGUAGAAGUUUAAAUGCACAUACAAUUAAAUUUGACUUUCAAGUAGUAAUUUUUUUUGUUGAUUGUAAUGGAAAAACUUAAAAGGAAUAUCGUAUUAAAUUUUGAAAUCUUUGAAAUAUUGUAAUACCUACAUUAAUACAUUACCUAAUUUAAUUGUGCACGAUGUUUUUUUUUGUUGUAUUAUUAACAUUAGCAUUUAAACAUAAAACUCACUAAUAAAUGACCAGAUGGACUUUUAAAAGCAUGAUAAAGUUCAAUACAAUUUUCUUUUAUUGUCAAUCUAUAAUUUGAUGUCUGAGUUCAAUAUUUAUGUAGAGUCUGGGUUGGUUUUGUGUUAUUCUUAAGCCAUAAUAUUUUUUCUUUAUACUCUAAUAAUUGAAUAUUACAAGUUAAAAUAAAUAUAAAAUAUUUAGGUACGAUCUUAAAUUAAGAAAUUAAUACCGACAUCAAUUAAAAUAACGUUUUCUGUGGGCUGAGGUGUUACAAUAACUCUCUACUGAUUUAUUUAUUUGCUUUUUAGAUUACAGUAUUUUUCAUAUAGUUUCCCUCUCACUGGGUGUACAUUAUUUCCAUCUUUAAAAUAAGGGGU
Long non-coding RNA from Acyrthosiphon pisum (pea aphid), 1932 nucleotides. RefSeq lists it as uncharacterized. The record is from RefSeq and is a predicted model, not a curated record. The transcript is spliced from 2 exons. NCBI's taxonomy places the organism in Eukaryota, Metazoa, Arthropoda, Insecta, Hemiptera, Aphididae.